GCUGGGAGUAGGCCACAUUGUGGGAGAACGGAGUGUUGUGAAGAUUGCAGCUGAAUGGCAUCACAGCAGCAUGACCACUGUUUUCCCCUACUUAUUUUUGUGUCUUUAGUCAGUUAGUUAAUUGUGUUUACGCCACCUUUAUUGUGUUUGUAUGUUGGUUUAUUUUAUUAGUUUGUUUGCCCUUUCCCACUCGUCACUGGUCUAGCUGACCAGUGUUCUUGAAGCAGCCCGUUCAGCACGUCUCCUGUCGUGAGACAAAGGGCUGCUUAGUUACAUUCCCCUUUUUAUUUCAACUCUUCCCCCGGUUUAACUUUAGUUUUCUUUUGUAUUUGUGUUGUUUAUUUCUCCGGU
Sardina pilchardus (European sardine) is the source of this 351-nucleotide long non-coding RNA. RefSeq lists it as uncharacterized. The transcript has 2 exons. The record is from RefSeq and is a predicted model, not a curated record. Lineage: Eukaryota; Metazoa; Chordata; Actinopteri; Clupeiformes; Clupeidae.